Molecule: long non-coding RNA, 387 nt
Filed under: Pelobates cultripes (western spadefoot toad)
Lineage: Eukaryota; Metazoa; Chordata; Amphibia; Anura; Pelobatidae
Source: RNAcentral
CACAUCAUUUCUAACAUAGGCCCGUGCAUGGAAUGAACAUUUUUGUAUAUAUUUGUACCUGUAAGAGUUUUGAACUUUACACUUAGUACAAUCAACCAUAAUAUCAUUAUUAACAUAGUACAUCGUUUUCAUUUGAAAAAUGUUUUUGGGAGUUACAUAUGGUAUGGCCAAUAAAAAGCAAAUCUCCAUGCGUUCCAGAUCAAUUAAGAGAGGUAUAGCGCUCCCCAUCUCAAAGGCCAGAUUUAAUUGCAUAGGCUCAAUUGUUUCUCCAUUCACAUUGGCAAGCAUCGCAUGAACAAUAUCCUUGGAUAAAAAGUACAGAGGUAUGCGUCCCCCUGCCAAUUCGAUCAUUCCAGUUUGCACUUUGUCAAGAAAAGCGAGUGUGUG